Musa acuminata subsp. malaccensis (wild Malaysian banana) is the source of this 2158-nucleotide long non-coding RNA. RefSeq lists it as uncharacterized. Lineage: Eukaryota; Viridiplantae; Streptophyta; Magnoliopsida; Zingiberales; Musaceae. The record is from RefSeq and is a predicted model, not a curated record.
CCACCGUCGCUCCCAAACGCACGUCGACGGAUGGAGCGCGCCAUUUCCCGGUCCUCGCCGCUCGCGAGCAGCCGACCACCAUCCCUCGGCGUCGGCGGAGAGCAGCCGCCUGGAGGAGCUGACGGCGCGGCCGGGCGUGGGCGCUGCCGCGGGGCGCGAGGGGAGGCCCUGCUCAAGGCCCUCCGCCAGGUCAAGAACGAGUUCAUCGGUAACAAGACCAAGAAGCCCGCCCUCCUCCGCAGCGAACGGCCGCCGGCAUCCUUUUCCAUUCCGAUGAUAAGAACCUAAGUGAAGGCUAUUUUUACAGUGAGGCAGUUAUUGGUAACGUGGUCCGACUUUUAUGAGACUCAUCUACAUCGGUUCAGGUAAGUUUGUCUACAUGGACAAUAAAUUUCACUUGUAUUAGAAGUUAGUCUGGCCUCCCUUAUCUUGCCCCGAUGUUGUCACAAAGAACUAAGCUGUAGGUCGAUAUUGGCAGCUUAAUAAGUUGAUGUUAUCAUCAUUAUAAAUGAUAACAGUUCUUAGUUUAACUAAAUUUUUAGCUACAUGUUUACUUGGUUCAAUAUCAAAGGAUGGUAUCUACAAGUUUAUUUGUUUUCCAUAUCGUGUCGCCAAUUCAUUAUUAUUAUAUAAAAGAGAAGCAAGUGUCAUUUGAUUUUACGGAGGGAUAUAGUCCUACUGGUAUUGUGAUUUAUAAUACUAGUUUCUGCUGGUUUUUUGUUGUCAACAUCUCCAUAAUCUAUUUGUUGUACAUCUAAUAUUUUAUUGUGUACAAAAGUGGAAUAAAAAAGACCUGCAUUUCGUAACCUCUUGAUAAUUGUGAUGUGACUCUGUCAAUAAUGUAUUUCUAGAAGAUAAUGUUUUUUUAAAUGUUGUUGUGAGACAGUUGCAGAAUGCAUCAUCUGUAGGAGUAUAUACUCAGGUGUGUGUUCAAUUGUGCCAUCUUUGUCUACUUUUAUAUAACUUCUGCCAAAUUCUUGCUGUUCUCUACCAUCCCGUUUUUUUUUUCCUACUUUUGACUCGGACAUAUCUUCACGCAUGAUCAUUAGUCAUGCAUCAGUGCUAGUGAAAUAAGAAUGUACUAACUUAUAAGUUGUCUAUAUUACUCUGCCAGCUUGAAGCUAUUACUAGAAACUCGUGGCCAAGUUGCUGGAUAUUACUCCCACCAGCUUGAAGUUAUUACUAGAAACUCAUGGCCAUACCUCGCUGAUGGUUUUUUAGACUAAUGGUGCAUAUAAAUUCAAAUAUUGCAUUGUCCUGGUAUUAAAGUUAAUGAACUUCCUCAGUUUUUCAUGUCUGGCAUUCUAAAUAGAGUUUGCAUCUCAGUAGAUUUGACAUCAGGUUUCAAAGAGUCGGAUUGUAAAAAAGCUUUGGAGAAAAAUAUGGACAAACAAUAAUAUAUAAUUAUGUAUUUAAAAUUUAUCUGAAUCUUUAGCCUUUUUUUGGUAAGUGAUGAUUCUGAUGUCCCAUCAAGAGAAAUUUCACCCAGAAGAUGACAUGCUUUGGCUUUGUUCAGACAUGAUUCAAAUGUAGUUGUUUUCAAGCAGAACUAAUGAUUUAUGAUUUGCUUAAUAUAUAUGCUUUAUGAUAUAAAACUGUCUUUCAGGGAAUGAUUGUGCUCAAUAACAUUACGGCUGGAAGCGAGUCUGGGAAAGAGUGAUGAAUUAUCCUGUUCUGCCCCGAGAAGAUGGUAACAUUCCCUCACUUGCACCUAAGUUCUCGCAUAGUAAGGACGAUUGGCUUCUCUAUGAUGCUUAGUGAACCUAACAUUCCUAGCUAGUGCUGGUUUAUCCAGUAGGGUCGCAAGUUUCCAAGAAGCAGGGAUGAUUUUUCAGCUAAAAUUCAUGCUUAAUGAUCCCUACUCGGACUGCAAGCUUCAUGUGAGAGCCAUUAUCGAGCAGUGCAUCAGUACCUUCUGCUUUUGGUGUUGUACACUUGCUUUUGAAUCCCCUCCAAUUGGAACGCUGUUAAUUGCUUUGCAUUGACAGGUGAAUACACGUUAAAAUAUAUUCUUUCUAGGUUAUCUCCACUGCUUCGAGGAAUCGUUCGAUGCUCCUUGCGGAGAAAAAGCUGGUGGAUUUUCUUUUCUAUUUUUUUUGUUGUUGUUGUGAUACGCUGUCUAUCGUCACUUGAAAUGCAUUCAAUGAUCCCUUGUUUC